Non-coding RNA from Cricetulus griseus (Chinese hamster), 320 nucleotides. Lineage: Eukaryota; Metazoa; Chordata; Mammalia; Rodentia; Cricetidae. The record is from RefSeq and is a predicted model, not a curated record.
UGAACCCAUGACAGCCUGCUGAGCUGAGCCUAGGACCAAAUGAGCCUCCAGUCUCAGAAAGACAGAUGGCUUCCUUGUCAUAGGUUCCAAGGAGAUAACCCAGUUUCCGAAUGGAAAUGAGGUUGGAUGAGGACCUGAAGGGAAAGAUCCGAUGCAGGCAUCUCAAGCUCAGCUCUGCUCAUGUUCCUGUAACCACGAGGGUUCCUGGCUGCCGCAAGCCAGCCUUUCCCCAGAGCCCUAGGGAUCCCUCGCUUUGGUCUGAGAACUUGGUCUGUUCUUCUCUCUUAUGGGCAGUAAACUAUUUCUGAAUCUCAGGAAAA